Molecule: ribosomal RNA, 468 nt
Filed under: uncultured bacterium
Lineage: Bacteria
Description: partial 16S ribosomal RNA
Rfam family: Bacterial small subunit ribosomal RNA
Source: RNAcentral
GACGAACGCUGGCGGCGUGCUUAACACAUGCAAGUCGAACGGAAAGGCCCUGCUUUUGUGGGGUGCUCGAGUGGCGAACGGGUGAGUAACACGUGAGUAACCUGCCCUUGACUUUGGGAUAACUUCAGGAAACGGGGGCUAAUACCGGAUAGGAGCUCCUGCUGCAGGGUGGGGGUUGGAAAGUUUCGGCGGGUGGGGAUGGACUCGCGGCUGAUCAGCUUGUUGGUGGGGUAGUGGCUUACCAAGGCUUUGACGGGUAGCCGGCCUGAGAGGGUGACCGGCCACAUUGGGCCUGAGAUACGGCCCAGACUCCUACGGGAGGCAGCAGUGGGGAAUAUUGCCCAAUGGGCGGGAGCCUGAUGCAGCGACGCCGCGUGCGGGAUGACGGCCUUCGGGUUGUAAACCGCUUUCGCCUGUGACGAAGCGUGAGUGACGGUAAUGGGUAAAGAAGCACCGGCUAACUACGUG